UAUAUAUUAAUUUGACUUUGGUUUUGUUUUUAAUUAUUAUAAUUUUAUACAUGUUAGGUUUAUUUAAUAUAUAUAUAUAUAUAUAUAUAUAUUGCGCUUUUAUGUUGAUAUUUAUUUUGUAUUUAUUAUAGUAAAGUUUAAUAUUUAUUAUAAGGGUACUUUUAAUUUAAUAUUAAGUGGUUUUUAAUAUGUUAAUUGAUAUUUCAGUAUAUUUAUUUAUACAAUAGAUGAGAGUUUUAUAUAGAAAUUAUAGAUUAUAAUUGGAUAAAUUUGUGCCAGCAUCUGCGGUUAUACUUAUAAUUAAGAUUAAAAGUUUUUGGUUUAAAGUAAAGUAAGACAAUUUUCUUUUAAAAGAAAAUUAUAUAGUUGGUUUUUUGGUAAAAUUUUUAGAAUUAGCUUGUUUGUUUGUGUUUUUCUUUAUUGUUAAUACUUUGAAAUUUUGAAAAUAAACUAGGAUUAGAUACCCUAUUAUUUCUUAUUGUAAAAAUUGAUUUUGUUUACCUAAGUAUUAUGAAAAUGACUAAGAUAGUUAGUUAUUGAUUGUUGUUUAAAACUUAAAAGGUUUGGCGGUUUUACAUAUCCAGUUAGGGGAGUUUGUUAAUAUAAUUUGAUAAUCCACAUUUUAAACUUACUUUUUUUUGAAUUAUAUAUAUAUAUAUAUAACGGUUUAUAUAUUGCUGUCGGCAGUUUAUAUUUUAAGAAUAAAAGGACUUUUGAAUUUUAGGAUUUAUAUGUCAAGUCAUAAUGUAGCUGAUAAAGAAGGUUUAAUGGACUACUAUAAUUUAUAUUAUUUACUUAUCCGGAUAAUGAAAAUUAAAUUUUGUUAGUAAGGUGGACUUGAUAGUAAACUUGAUUAUUAGUAUGUGUAGUUGAAUGUGGUUUUGUAAAGUGUACAUAUCGCCCGUCACUCUUGUUGUUUAAAUAAGAUAAGUCGUAACAUAGUAGAGGUAAUGGAAAUUGUUUCUGGAGGAGUAUAUAAUA
Non-coding RNA from Octopus sinensis (East Asian common octopus), 981 nucleotides. NCBI's taxonomy places the organism in Eukaryota, Metazoa, Mollusca, Cephalopoda, Octopoda, Octopodidae. The record is from the annotation of a RefSeq genome assembly.